GUGCUCACUCCGGCAGCACAUACACUCAAAUUGGAACGAUACGGAGACGGUUAGCAUGGCCCCUGUGCAAGGAUGACAUGCAAAUUCAUGAAGCAUUCCAUAUUUUU
This is a small nuclear RNA of Artibeus jamaicensis (Jamaican fruit-eating bat), 107 nucleotides long. The record is from RefSeq and is a predicted model, not a curated record. Lineage: Eukaryota; Metazoa; Chordata; Mammalia; Chiroptera; Phyllostomidae.